Molecule: ribosomal RNA, 301 nt
Filed under: uncultured bacterium
Lineage: Bacteria
Description: partial 16S ribosomal RNA
Rfam family: Bacterial small subunit ribosomal RNA
Source: RNAcentral
CAGCAGCCACGGGAAUACGAAGGGUGCAAGCGUUACUCGGAAUUACUGGGCGUAAAGCGUGCGUAGGUGGUGGUUUAAGUCCGUUGUGAAAGCCCUGGGCUCAACCUGGGAAUUGCAGUGGAUACUGGGUCACUAGAGUGUGGUAGAGGAUAGUGGAAUUUCCGGUGUAGCAGUGAAAUGCGUAGAGAUCGGAAGGAACAUCUGUGGCGAAGGCGACUAUCUGGGCCAACACUGACACUGAGGCACGAAAGCGUGGGGAGCAAACAGGAUUAGAUACCCCUGUAGUCCCUGUCCCUUAUAC